GACGAACCGUCCAAACGUUAUUCGGAAUCACUGGGCUUAAAGGGUGCGUAGGCGGAGAGGCAAGUCAGAGGUGAAAGCCCACGGCUCAACCGUGGAAGUGCCCCUGAAACGGCCUCUCUCGAGGGAGAUAGGGGCGUGCGGAACUCAGAGUGGAGCGGUGAAAUGCGUAGAUAUUCUGAGGAACGCCGGUGGCGAAAGCGGCACGCUGGGUCUUUGCUGACGCUGAGGCCCGAAAGCUAGGGGAGCAAACGGG
This 253-nucleotide ribosomal RNA is filed under the name uncultured bacterium. Its description in RNAcentral is "partial 16S ribosomal RNA". It matches the Rfam family "Bacterial small subunit ribosomal RNA", at positions 524 to 776 of the family's 1533-position model. The record is from RNAcentral.